This 253-nucleotide ribosomal RNA is filed under the name uncultured bacterium. RNAcentral describes it as "partial 16S ribosomal RNA". It matches the Rfam family "Bacterial small subunit ribosomal RNA", at positions 524 to 776 of the family's 1533-position model. The record is from RNAcentral.
UACGAAGGGGGCGAGCGUUGUUCGGAAUUACUGGGCGUAAAGGGCGCGUAGGCGGCCGAUCAAGUCAGAUGUGAAAGUCCUGGGCUUAACCUGGGGACUGCAUUUGAUACUGAUUGGCUUGAAUGCAGGAGAGGAUAGCGGAAUUCCCAGUGUAGAGGUGAAAUGCGUAGAUAUCAGGAGGAACACCGGUGGCGAAGGCGGGUCUCUGGGCCGAAAUUGACGCUGAGGAGCGAAAGCGUGGGGAGCAAACAGG